This 450-nucleotide ribosomal RNA is filed under the name uncultured bacterium. Its description in RNAcentral is "partial 16S ribosomal RNA". It matches the Rfam family "Bacterial small subunit ribosomal RNA", at positions 354 to 796 of the family's 1533-position model. The record is from RNAcentral.
GUAAGGAGUUUUCGGCAAUGGGGGGAACCCUGACCGAGCAACGCCGCGUGAGUGAUGACGGCCCUAUGGGUUGUAAAGCUCUGUUAUAAGGGACGAACAGCUUUGCUAGGAAAUGAGCAGAGUCUGACGGUACUUUAUCAGAAAGCCACGGCUAACUACGUGCCAGCAGCCGCGGUAAUACGUAGGUGGCAAGCGUUAUCCGGAAUUAUUGGGCGUAAAGAGUGAGCAGGCGGCAGAUUAAGUUUGAGGUUAAAGCGUGGGGCUCAACCCCAUAAAGCCUUGAAAACUGAUCAGCUAGAGUACGAGAGAUGUGAAGGGAACUCCAUGUGUAGCGGUGAAAUGCGUAGAUAUAUGGAAGAACACCAGUGGCGAAGGCGCUUCACAAGCUCGAAACUGACGCUCAGUCACGAAAGCGUGGGUAGCAAAUAGGAUUAGAUACCCGUGUAGUCC